RNAcentral lists this ribosomal RNA (425 nucleotides) under uncultured bacterium. RNAcentral describes it as "bacterial SSU rRNA". It matches the Rfam family "Bacterial small subunit ribosomal RNA", at positions 356 to 773 of the family's 1533-position model. The record is from RNAcentral.
GGGGAAUAUUGCACAAUGGGCGAAAGCCUGAUGCAGCAACGCCGCGUGAGGGAUGAAGGUUUUCGGAUCGUAAACCUCUGUCAGAAGGGAAGAAACUACGUUGUGCUAAUCAGCAGCGUACUGACGGUACCUUCAAAGGAAGCACCGGCUAACUCCGUGCCAGCAGCCGCGGUAAUACGGAGGGUGCAAGCGUUAAUCGGAAUUACUGGGCGUAAAGCGCACGUAGGCUGUAGUGUAAGUCAGGAGUGAAAUCCCACGGCUCAACCGUGGAACUGCCUUUGAUAAUGCACAACUUGAAUCCGGGAGAGGGUGGCGGAAUUCCAGGUGUAGGAGUGAAAUCCGUAGAUAUCUGGAGGAACAUCAGUGGCGAAGGCGGCCACCUGGACCGGUAUUGACGCUGAGGUGCGAAAGCGUGGGGAGCAAAC